AGCUCCAAUAGCGUAUAUUAAAGUUGCUGCAGUUAAAAAGCUCGUAGUUGGAUUUGUGGCGCGAUCGUCCGGCGGGGCUCCUUCAUUGGGGCCGUUUGUCUGGUUUUUCGAUCGCUCCAUUCUCGGGUAGUGUGUCGCUGGCAUUAGGUUGUCGGCUUCUUCACGCCCGUCGUCUACUGUGAAAAAAUUAGAGUGUUCAAAGCAGGCUUAGGCCGUUGGAUACAUUAGCAUGGAAUAAUGAGAUAGGGCCACGACGGUCUAUUUUGUUGGUUUGCACGUUGUGGUAAUGAUUAACAGGAACGGUUGGGGGUAUUCGUAUUCAAUUGUCAGAGGUGAAAUUCUUGGAUUUAUGGAAGACGAACUACUGCGAAAGCAUUUACCAAGGAUGUUUUCAUUAAUC
RNAcentral lists this ribosomal RNA (400 nucleotides) under phytoplankton environmental sample. Its description in RNAcentral is "partial small subunit ribosomal RNA". It matches the Rfam family "Eukaryotic small subunit ribosomal RNA", at positions 587 to 978 of the family's 1831-position model. The record is from RNAcentral.